GAUGAACGCUGGCGGCGUGCCUAAUACAUGCAAGUCGAGCGAACAGACGAGGAGCUUGCUCCUCUGACGUUAGCGGCGGACGGGUGAGUAACACGUGGAUAACCUACCUAUAAGACUGGGAUAACUUCGGGAAACCGGAGCUAAUACCGGAUAAUAUAUUGAACCGCAUGGUUCAAUAGUGAAAGACGGUUUUGCUGUCACUUAUAGAUGGAUCCGCGCCGCAUUAGCUAGUUGGUAAGGUAACGGCUUACCAAGGCGACGAUGCGUAGCCGACCUGAGAGGGUGAUCGGCCACACUGGAACUGAGACACGGUCCAGACUCCUACGGGAGGCAGCAGUAGGGAAUCUUCCGCAAAGGGCGAAAGCCUGACGGAGCAACGCCGUGUGAGUGAUGAAGGUCUUCGGAUCGUAAAACUCUGUUAUUAGGGAAGAACAAAUGUGUAAGUAACUAUGCACGUCUUGACGGUACCUAAUCAGAAAGCCACGGCUAACUACGUG
This 497-nucleotide ribosomal RNA is filed under the name uncultured bacterium. Its description in RNAcentral is "partial 16S ribosomal RNA". It matches the Rfam family "Bacterial small subunit ribosomal RNA", at positions 28 to 507 of the family's 1533-position model. The record is from RNAcentral.